UACGAAGGGGGCGAGCGUUGUUCGGAUUUACUGGGCGUAAAGGGCGCGCAGGCGGCUAUUUUUGUCAGGCGUGAAAGCCCCGGGCUUAACCUGGGAACAGCGCUUGAGACGGGAUGGCUAGAGAUCGGGAGAGGAGAGUGGAAUUCCCAGUGUAGAGGUGAAAUUCGUAGAUAUUGGGAAGAACACCGGUGGCGAAGGCGACUCGCUGGACAAGUAUUGACGCUGAGGUGCGAAAGCGUGGGGAGCAAACAGG
Molecule: ribosomal RNA, 253 nt
Filed under: uncultured bacterium
Lineage: Bacteria
Description: partial 16S ribosomal RNA
Rfam family: Bacterial small subunit ribosomal RNA
Source: RNAcentral